UACGUAGGGUGCAAGCGUUAAUCGGAAUUAUUGGGCGUAAAGGGUAGGUAGGUGGUCUCAUUUGUCUGGGGUGAAAGCCUUGAGCUUAACUCAAGAAGUGCCCUAGAAACGGUGAGACUGGAGUCCUGGAGAGGGUCGUGGAAUUCCCGGUGUAGCGGUGAAAUGCGUAGAGAUCGGGAGGAACACCAGAGGCGAAGGCGGCGACCUGGACAGGUACUGACACUCAACUACGAAAGCGUGGGGAGCAAACAGG
RNAcentral lists this ribosomal RNA (253 nucleotides) under uncultured bacterium. RNAcentral describes it as "partial 16S ribosomal RNA". It matches the Rfam family "Bacterial small subunit ribosomal RNA", at positions 524 to 776 of the family's 1533-position model. The record is from RNAcentral.